ACUUAAUCCAUUUGAUCACUUUCUUGCUGACUUGCCACUCCUGGCCAAAAUCAGGCUCCUUGUAGUGGUCCAGGCCUUCAGACCAGGUGAUCCUCUCCAACACCUCCAGCUCACCUCCCGCCAGCCAGUUCCCGCUAGCCAUGACCUGCUUGAUGUAGGGGUGGUUGGGGUUGUUGGUGCCAAACUGCCUGGCACACAUCUCUUCCUUAUGAUGUUCAUAAAACUCCACAUUCCUGAGCACAGCCUUGGCCACCCCUCUGUACCUGAGUAC
RNAcentral lists this ribosomal RNA (271 nucleotides) under uncultured eukaryote. RNAcentral describes it as "partial 18S ribosomal RNA". The record is from RNAcentral.